Long non-coding RNA from Octopus sinensis (East Asian common octopus), 612 nucleotides. RefSeq lists it as uncharacterized. Lineage: Eukaryota; Metazoa; Mollusca; Cephalopoda; Octopoda; Octopodidae. The transcript has 2 exons. The record is from RefSeq and is a predicted model, not a curated record.
UGCCCACUUCUUUUUCCCCACCCAAUAUAAAUUACAUUUUCUCUUUUUUAUUUUACAGAUUACACUGAGAGAUCUCCCUUUCCUUCUCUCUCUCUGUUUAACAGGAACAACAUUGAAUUUUGAACUUGGUACCACUUUCACACCUGUCUGAUUCCUUUUUCCUUUCUCCACAUUCUUUAGUUUAUUUUCCUUGUUGUUACCAUGUUUCCUUUCUCUCUCUCCCUCUCUCUUUAUUUCCAGGUUUCUUUUCAGAUUUUCUUAUAUACACCCCUGUCUCUCUCUCUCUCCUACAUAUACACAUAAACAUACAUAUAUAUAUAUGUAUAUGUAUCGAUAGAGGGAGAUUGGCAGAAGUGAACAAAAUAUACCUGAUGGCAUUUGGUUACUGUUUUUUAUAUUUAUUAUUUAAUUUUUAAAUCCUGCCACGGUGAACUUUACCUUUCUCUUUCCUGAUGUCAAUGAAUUAAGAACCUAUCAACGAAUGGAAGGUGGUGUCAUUGGCUAUACUCUUGAGGGCCCUGCUGCCCCAGUAUGAGAACUGUCAAAUAGAUAGAUUUACACACAUGAACAAACACAUUUUUGCAUUUCGAAAUACAAGCAGGAAGAAGAGAA